Molecule: ribosomal RNA, 374 nt
Filed under: uncultured bacterium
Lineage: Bacteria
Description: bacterial SSU rRNA
Rfam family: Bacterial small subunit ribosomal RNA
Source: RNAcentral
CCUGAACGCUGGCGGCGUGGCUAAGACAUGCAAGUCGCACGGGGUAGCAAUACCCAGUGGCGAACGGGUGAGUAAUGAAUCGCUAAUGUGCCCCGGACUCUGGGAUAGCCAGCCGAAAGGCUGGGUAAUACCAGAUGAGACCACGAACAGGCAUCUGUUUGUGCCCAAAGGUCCGCCGGUCUGGGAGCAGGCGAUUUCGUAUCAGCUUGUUGGUGAGGUAACGGCUCACCAAGGCGACGACGCGUAGCCGACUGAGAGGUUGGCCGGCCACAUUGGGACUGAGACACUGCCCAGACUCCGUACGGGGGCUGCAGUAACGAAUCUUCCGCAAUGUAACGAAAGUAUGACGGAGCGACGCCGCGUGUGGGACGAAG